RNAcentral lists this ribosomal RNA (217 nucleotides) under uncultured bacterium. RNAcentral describes it as "partial 16S ribosomal RNA". It matches the Rfam family "Bacterial small subunit ribosomal RNA", at positions 116 to 334 of the family's 1533-position model. The record is from RNAcentral.
CGUAGGAAUCUACCUAGAUGUGGGGGAUAACAUGGUGAAAAUCAUGCUAAUACCGCAUAUGCCCUACGGGGUAAAGAGGGCCUCUUCUUGAAAGCUCUUGCAUUUAGAUGAGCCUGCGUCGGAUUAGCUUGUUGGCGGGGUAAUGGCCCACCAAGGCGACGAUCCGUAGCUGGUCUGAGAGGAUGAUCAGCCACACUGGGACUGAGACACGGCCCAG